GUGAGGAAUUUUGCGCAAUGGGGGCAACCCUGACGCAGCGACGCCGCGUGGAGGACGAAGUCUUUCGGGAUGUAAACUCCUGUCAGUGGGGACGAUAAUGACGGUACCCACAGAGGAAGCACCGGCUAACUCCGUGCCAGCAGCCGCGGUAAGACGGAGGGUGCAAGCGUUGUUCGGAAUUACUGGGCGUAAAGCGUAUGUAGGCGGCAAGUUAAGUUCAAUGUUAAAGCCCACGGCUCAACCGAGGAGAUGCAUUGAAUACUGGCUAGCUAGAGGGUGUUAGAGGAAGACGGAAUUCCCAGUGUAGCGGUGAAAUGCGUAGAUAUUGGGAGGAACAUCGGUAGCGAAAGCGGUCUUCUGGGACAUACCUGACGCUGAGGUACGAAAGCGUGGGGAGCAAACGGGAUUAGAUACCCCAGUAGUCC
Molecule: ribosomal RNA, 425 nt
Filed under: uncultured bacterium
Lineage: Bacteria
Description: partial 16S ribosomal RNA
Rfam family: Bacterial small subunit ribosomal RNA
Source: RNAcentral